RNAcentral lists this small nuclear RNA (70 nucleotides) under Dipodomys ordii (Ord's kangaroo rat). The record is from RNAcentral. Lineage: Eukaryota; Metazoa; Chordata; Mammalia; Rodentia; Heteromyidae.
GGUACAGAAAAGAUUAGCAGGGCCCCUGCGCAAGAAUGACACACAAAUCCAGCUAAUUUAAUUUGUUUAA